This 25-nucleotide unclassified non-coding RNA is filed under the name Mus musculus (house mouse). Its description in RNAcentral is "oocyte_clustered_small_RNA7120". The record is from RNAcentral. Lineage: Eukaryota; Metazoa; Chordata; Mammalia; Rodentia; Muridae.
GACUAGAAGUCGAAGUGCUUAGAAA